RNAcentral lists this ribosomal RNA (834 nucleotides) under Coolia malayensis. Its description in RNAcentral is "eukaryotic LSU rRNA". It matches the Rfam family "Eukaryotic large subunit ribosomal RNA", at positions 97 to 892 of the family's 3401-position model. Lineage: Eukaryota; Dinophyceae; Peridiniales; Ostreopsidaceae. The record is from RNAcentral.
AACAAAGACAUGGUCAUUUUGAAAAUUGUGGUCUUAGAUCAUGAAUUGUAUUUUCAAAAUGCAUUGCUAACACAACUGCACAUGUUUGUUUAUUGGAAAGAACAUCACAAAGGGUGACAAUCCCAUGUGUCAUGUGUAUGUUUUGUGUACAGCGUGCAUUAUAUGAAUCACAUUCAUUGACAAUUGAAUGCAAAUAGAAUGGUAAAUUUCAUUUAAUCAUAAAUAUGUUGUUGACAACUUAUAGCAAACAAAUACCAUGAGGGAAAUGUGAAAAGGAUUUUGAAAAGAAAAUUAAAAGAGCUUGCAAUUGCUGAACUGAUAAGCAAACAAAACAUACGUGUGUAUGCAAGAUUGUUGUAAUGCUUAGCAUCCUAUGCAAGGCUAUUGCAAUGAUUUUUUGUAUAGUGAUGCUACCUUUUUUUAGAAUUUGGAAUGUCUUUUUUUGAGUGUGAAUGGAAUUUUGUUUGUUAGCAAAGGAAUGCACUUUUAGAUUCAUUGUUUGAUUUGAUUUAAAAAUGUUUGUGACACGUGUCUUUGUUUUAGUUUCAUGCUUCAACCAAGGACAUUGUGUUUGAUCCAUAUCAGCAAUACAUGUUUUGUUUGACCCGUCUUGAAACACGGACCAAGGAGUUUAAUUUAUGUGCAAGAUCAUGAAACUGACAUUUGUAUAUCAAUGAAAAUAUUUUGUUGGGAUUUGUGCACCAACAACUGAUAAGUUGUGUGACGCGACGUUGAGUUUGAGCAUGUUGAUUAAAACCCGAAAGAUGGUGAACUAUGCCUGAACAGAAUGAAGUCAGAGGAAACUCUGAUGGAAGUUCGUAUCGAUACUGACGU